Molecule: long non-coding RNA, 6450 nt
Organism: Mustela lutreola (European mink)
Lineage: Eukaryota; Metazoa; Chordata; Mammalia; Carnivora; Mustelidae
Exons: 3
Source: RefSeq, a predicted model, not a curated record
GCUAUACUAUAGUUCUGACCUGGGGUCCUUCACUUCCAGUUACAGCAGUGUUGUAGACAAAAAAGGGAUAAAUAUUAAGAGUAGCACAAAUCUGUUCCAAGCUACGCAUGAAAGAACUAAAAAUGGGGGAAAAUAUUGUUUCAGGAUUUCUUUUUCUUUAGUGCCCACAGGUCUUGCUCACAUUGCUUCUAAGAAUGAAGAGGUAGAGCAGACAAAGAGCGGUGGGCAGCAAAGCGCAAUUUCUUUAGUAAGAGUAUAAAGCUCCUGGAGAGGGAGGAGGGGGCCCAAGUGGGUUGCCUUUGGAGUUUCUAAGCUUAGGGGUUUUCAUGAGCAUAAUAUCUUAAGCAAGCAGGGUCGUGCCAGUCAGUACGACUGCUGAGUCGUGCCAGUCAGGGCUCUGAUCAGGCAUCUGCCUACCUAUUAUGUUAAUAUCUCUGCUGAUGGUCUUUUUUUGCUGAUGUCUUAACCUCCCCUUGCCUGUGAUAUCGACAGAUGCUUUGUGGUUAAUUGUCUUAUCUUAGAACACUUUGCAGAAUUAAUUUCUGCAAGGGCUGCAAAACAGAAUGUUAGGGUGGUCCUGUCUAAACUGCAAAACAGGAUGUUAGUGCUGUCUUAUUUUAGCUGUCCUGACUCCAUAUUUUCUUGUUGGGGACUCUGGCCCUGACUACCUGUGCAACUAACUCUUAAUUCAUAGAAGGUUAAAUAAGCACUAGUACACAGGGUAUGAAAAGUGAGGCAGAGAACAACACUGGUUUUUCUUGCUUUCCCACAUAUGCUUUAAAUAGCUCUUCUGAAAAUCUGGGAUGAUCUUCCCAUAAAGGAUCUGCACAGAACAGAAUGGUCGUGAGAUAGACCUCCUUCAUUUUGAGAGAGAGAAUGCCACAGAACAAAGACUUCCCAAGAGCAAACACCAUGUCCCUGGGUGGGCUUGCACCACCAACCUUUCGGUUAACAGCCAAACGCGCUAACCAGUUGCACCACAGAGACCUGUGAUGACCCAUUUACUCCUUCCAACAAGGAACAAGCCAAACUGCUGGUUGCUGUUGGGGGAACCAGAAAGAUAAAGGGACAGGGGAGCAUGGGGGGAGACGCGGGAAAGAGGAAUGUGAAAAGGAGCAAAAGAAACAAAUAUGGAUGAGAUGAUGAGAUGAAGGGACUGCUAGGAAAUCUGUGAAGAGGAAAAUUGUUUUAUUAUGUAGAACAGGGAGGGAGAAACAGAGAACAGUAGGAAAGAGACCGGCGCAAACAUCUGCAGGUGUCCAAGAAUAAAACAGCCAAAGAAGUGUAAAUAAAAAUUACAGUAAGUGCAGUGGCUGCCAGUAGGAUUGUGGGGCACUGUCACUGUAUACGGGUUGGUACCCUUGUGGUUACGGCCUCAGUUCAAACCAAGUAACAGUAGGGUAGGUGUAGAUGUCCUUAGUAGGUGCCAAACCAAUCUUUUGGGCUGCUUUUCAUCCCAGCACCGGCUCUGCGCCUUAGUUAGCUGCAGUCAGAACACAGGAUACUUAGGAGUCGAGUACACCUGCUAGUCCCACGGCAGGUGCAAUCAGAAGAGGGGUAAAUUCCACAGUGUACAAACCUUUGGGUGGCGGACCAAAGUGAACCUUGGAAGUUUCCUUGUUUCCUUACUGAGCAGAAGAUAUCCCCAAAGAUGAAAUACCUUUCAAGGAGACUGGCAUAUAGCUUUCAUGAAUGAAAUAGUGUCCACAUAGCCUUUUUUUCUGGUAAAGAUAUUUCAAGUAUUAGUGUGUGUGUUGGGGGGAGGGUUAACACUAAAUGAGAACAGGUCUCUGUGUUUACAAUAAAAUGCAAACAAGUUGUCAUGACAACUACAUGACAGCUUGUCUCCAUCUGCCAUCUGCUAAUUUUUAUGGAAACAGUAAAUUAUUGAACUAUAGUUCACACUGAGUAAAAAAUCACAAAUCUUUACUGUACAAUUUGUUGAAUGUGGGCAAAUGUAAUCAUCACCCAAAUCAAAUUAUGAAAAAUUGCCAUCAUCCCUGAAGUAUAGGUUGAGCUCCUUUCCGGGUAAUUCAUACCCUAUCUCACUUAGGUAAUUAUUAUUUUGAAGUCUAUCUGCUAUAGGUUACUAUUGCUUAUUCUCAAAAUUCAAAUGAAUGAAUGCUUAUUUUUGCAUUUGCCUUUUAAUGUUAAAUAUUAAAUUAAUAUUAAAUAUAUCAUAUUGAUAGGUACAUAACUUGAUUUUGGUAUUACUGGAGAAACUUUGGUGUUAUUUGGUAUUAGUUAGUAUUAUUGAUCAAUAUUCUUAGUGUUUGUUGAAUAUUCUGUACCAGUCUUUCUAUGUACUUGCGCAUUGAUAGAUGUACUGCAAUUGCUGGGUCAUGGAGUAGGUAUGAGUUUAACUUUAUUAGAAAUUGCCAACAGUCCUCUAGAAUAGUUUUGAACAGUAACUACAGUUGCAAUUGUUCCACAGUCUUAUCAGCAUUUGGUGUACUAAUUCUUUUUAUAUAUAGCCAUGUUGGAAGGUGGGUAAUAUUAUCUCCUUAUAUUUUAAUUUGUAUUUCCCAAGUAAAUAAAAAUAUCAAGAAUAUAUAUAUAUAUAUAUAUAUAUAUAUUUUAAAGAUUUUAUUUAUUUAUUUAACAGAGAGAGAGAUCACAGUAGGCACAGAGGCAGAGGAGAAGGCAGCCUCCCCGCUGAGCAGAGAGCCCGUUGCAGGGCUCCAUCCCAGAGCCCCAGGAUCGAUCCCAGGGCCCCAGGAUCAUGACCUGAGCCGAAGGCAGAGCCUUAACCCAUUGAGCCACCCAGGUGCCCCAGGAAUAUAUUUUUUAAAAUAAGCUCCACACCUUCAACUCACAGCCCCGAGAUCAAGAUCUGACCUGAGCUCAAGAGUCAGACACUUAAUUUGACUGAGACACCCCUCAAGAAUGUUUCAUAUAACAUUUGGUCAUUAAAAUAUCUCACUUUGUGGGGCGCCUGGGUGGCUCAGUGGGUUAAAGCCUCUGCCUCCGGCUCAGGUCAUGAUCCCAGGGUCCUGGGAUGGAGCCCCACAUCGAGCCCCGCCUUGGGCUCUCUGCUCAGUGGGGAACCUGCUUCCUCCUCUCUCUCUCUCUCUCUCUGCCUCUCUGCCUACUUGUGAUCUCUGUCUGUAAAUAAAUAAAUAAAAUCUUAAAAAAAAAAAAAGAUACCUCACUUUGUAAAGAAAAUCUAUUGGAUAUUUUGCCUUUUAUUUGGUUUAGUUUUUAAAAAUUAACUGAUUUAUUAAAUCUUCAUAUAUUUGAAUAAUCAAGACAUUUUAAAGUAAUAUGGCUUAACAUAUUUUCUCAGCUUGUGAUUUAACUUUUUUUUUUUUUUUUUUUGUCCGAGAGAAUGAGCACAGGCAGACAGAGUGGCAGGCAGAGGCAGAGGGAGAAGCAGGUUUCCUGCUGAGCAAGGAGCCCGAUGUAGAACUUGAUCCCAGGAUUAUGACCUGAGCCGAAGGCAGCCGCUUAACCAACUGAGCCACCCAGGUGCCAGAGGUACACUCGGCUCAUUUCCUACAGCCAAAGUGUCUGUGGGUGCUCCUGCGCCGGGACCCUGCCCAUCGAGCUCCGCACCAGGCCCGAAAUUUCUCGCAGGUUCGUGGGCGACCGCCUGCCGAAGAAAUUCCACGCGGCGUAUAAUGGUGAGAAAGCACGGGGGACGUCGCCCGAAGUCCUCUACAUUCCCUCUGGGGCCAAGUCCGAAGGAGGCUCCCCUUCCAGAAACGUUGGGGCCCGAGACCCGCCUUCGCAUUCAGGCUCCCGGUCCCAGCGCGCCCUCUCGGUCCCUGCCCUGGCUAGCCAGCUGUGCCUCGCCUCUCCCGGAUUCUUCCUCUCCCUCCUCGUCUUCCGUUCCCUCUGUGCUCUUGGGAACCGGAAGCCGCCACCCCUCCCACCCACCGGAAAGGACCAACCCGCGGAAAGGACCCAGCCGCCUCUCCCGGGCCUGCGGAGGGAAUUGGAUCCAUGUUUGCCAAACAAAGGGAGGAGAGAGAACCUCCGGCAGCCCGCAACUGGUUCCGUGCUGGUGCUCCUGGCUCAGCCCUUCGACGGGCCUGGAAUCCGCUAGAGAAACGCGCGGCUCACGGAGCUGGCCCAGUUAGCGUCUCUCCCACCGCGCCUCUCGAAAGCGCAGGAAUAUCCUGUGGGGGUCGCUCUUACGGCCCAGAAGACACACGUGACAACGGGUGCUGCCGGAGCCCAGACUUUGCACACCCGACCGCUACUCAACGUCGUUUCCGUCGGCUGGUCCAUCCCCGGGAGGGCCUUGGAGACAGGAGGAAGGAUGGAGGAGGACGCACUCUUCAGUGGCAAUAAAAACUCCACUUUUCUGUGACUUGCCUCACUGUUCCUCUCCUUUCUUCCGUUCUAGCACCUCUAGCAUAGAAGAACGGUGGUCUUGCUCUCCUUGGAGACGUGUGUGUGUGUGUGUUCUGGUCCAUGGCUCCCUUUCCUUCAAUGGACAUUUAUCACAUAUACACAAGUGACUUGUAGAAUGGCAUUUGUACGAGUCCUCAAAUGCUGCAGAUUGAAAUCACUCAAAUAUCUAUCAUUUGUCUUUAGUUUUACGAUAAUAGGAUACUAGCAUCAUUAUCUUUAACACCAGAAUUAAAGUGUGACAAAGGCAAUAACAUGUAUAAAAACCAUAAUGUUGCUUGAUAAUGGCUAGAUAGAAAAAGUGUAUAUUCAUUCAUGUGAAUUUGAAGAAAGGACCAGGCUAAUCUGUGGGGGUAGACAUCAGAAUAGUUUAAAAUAGCAGGAAUGGAUAGCCAUUACCUGGAAAGUGUAUCAGAGAGCCAUACGUGCUUGGCUGAUAGAAAAUUUCUGUCUUAAUCGUGGUGAUAAUUGAACAUUUCAAUAUUUAAAUAGCUGUCCCUUAAUUAUUUGGGCAUUUUGUUCUGUGAACACACAUUGCUAUUUUCCUUUUCUAGGAUAAAAAUUAGCUAUUCAACGUUAAAGAGUCCAACGUAGACGAGGACAAUUCUGGAGUGUAUUGCAGACUCUCCAAAAUCUGCUCUUUUUUGUGUAAGAAAGUUUCACUCAUGUGUGAAAUAUUUCCACCAGAAAAGCCCCGAUAUGACCAGACCAUUUCCUUAGGGGAAGCGAUACACAGGACUUAUUGAGAGCUUGCACAUCACAUCUUUAGACAUUUUCUGUUAAAUGGUGACGUGGAGCACGCCCGGGGUUCUCCUCUCUUCUACUGACCAUGUUGCACUGUUGUCCCCCCAAAGCGUGGCGGGGAGCGGCUCGUGCGGCUUGAGACACAAAGAAAAACGGACGCUUUGCCGUGACUCGGAUUCGAACCGAGGUUGCUGCGGCCACAACGCAGAGUACUAACCACUAUACGAUCACGGCGCGCCACAGCCGGGGUGGCAAGCUGAGAACUUGCUCUACUAACUUUGACAAAUUCAUUCCAAUUACCGCGCUGCUUUGUUCUCGGUCAACUGCAGGUAUUCAUGCUGUUUCCCUCCCUAUUCUGAUGCAUUUAUCAUCUCCACUGCAUCCAGCCCGUGCAUCUGUAGGGAUCUCCUGGAAAGUAACUUUGCAGCGUUUAUGCCUCUCCCACUUCUUUCUCUCUUCGUUACAUUGCCUCUCUUGAUCCCCGCACCCUUCCCUCCGGCUCCUACCCCCCCGACCGCAGCCGAGUGGGGCGCCGGCAGGGCAGAUAGUAGGCGGGUGAAGGCGAAGCAACUGGUAAAGCCAUUACGCGAGGCCACCAGGCGUUCCGCUUCUCUUGGGCCCCUCUUGCCUCAGGCCCGGGGGUCACCGGCGUGGAAUGCUGACUGCCCUUCGAAACGCCCAACAUACGGGUUUCAAACGCGACAAACACACACCUUUCGGGUUUUCGGAGACUGGAGACUUAACGGCUGUCCUGCAAAGUUGUUUCUACCCUGUGCAUCCUCUCACCUAAAGGGAGAGAAAUGCCUCUAUCACCCUCCGGUCCUUAAGUGUUUUGUGUACAAGAGAAGGACCUAAGCCAAGAUCGUCACGGAUCCUCAGAUCCAGAAGAGCUCAGGAGGAAAACAGGUCGCCAGGAAUCCUCAUGAGUAGAGUCAUCGUUGUUAACCUGAAUUCCUUUUGACAAUGAAGCCUCUUUGUUUGUGUUAGUAUUAAUUUAACCCUUUCCAUUUAUUUUUGAAAUUAAGUUGGUUUUAUGCUAUUAGUAUCAUAAAUAAUAUCUUGGUCCUAUGCAGCUAACACUGUACACAUCCUUACCGAAGAAUGCUGGAAGAGCAAUUACAUGGUUUCUACAUGAUUCCAUGUUUUUCCUUUUGUUAGUUUAUUAGCUAUAAAUCUUUCUUUUGUUAUUUCAGCAACUGCUUUAGGCUUUAUAGCUGCAUACAUCUGUAAUUUACCGCAAUUGGCCUUUAAGUCAACUCAUAUCUCUUAACAUUUUUCCUUUACCUGUCUUUAUACUAGUUUUGUCAUGCAUUUUAUGUUGCAUGUUAUAAACCUCACAAUCCAUCGUCA